GACGAACGCUGGCGGCGUGCUUAACACAUGCAAGUCGAACGAAGAGCGACGGAAGCUUGCUUCUAUCAAUCUUAGUGGCGAACGGGUGAGUAACGCGUAAUCAACCUGCCCUUCAGGGGGGGACAACAGUUGGAAACGACUGCUAAUACCGCAUACGAUCUAAUCUCGGCAUCGAGGAUGGAUGAAAGGUGGCCUCUACAUGUAAGCUAUCACUGAAGGAGGGGAUUGCGUCUGAUUAGCUAGUUGGAGGGGUAACGGCCCACCAAGGCGAUGAUCAGUAGCCGGUCUGAGAGGAUGAACGGCCACAUUGGGACUGAGACACGGCCCAGACUCCUACGGGAGGCAGCAGUGGGGAAUCUUCCGCAAUGGACGAAAGUCUGACGGAGCAACGCCGCGUGAGUGAUGACGGCCUUCGGGUUGUAAAGCUCUGUUAAUCGGGACGAAAGGCCUUCUUGCGAAUAGUGAGAAGGAUUGACGGUACCGGAAUAGAAAGCCACGGCUAACUACGUG
This 510-nucleotide ribosomal RNA is filed under the name uncultured bacterium. Its description in RNAcentral is "partial 16S ribosomal RNA". It matches the Rfam family "Bacterial small subunit ribosomal RNA", at positions 28 to 507 of the family's 1533-position model. The record is from RNAcentral.